GAUUAACGCUAGCGGCAGGCCUAAUACAUGCAAGUCGAACGGCAGCACGGGUAGCAAUACCUGGUGGCGAGUGGCGCACGGGUGCGUAACACGUAUGCAAUCUACCUUUAACUGGGGAAUAACCCCUCGAAAGAGGGGCUAAUACCGCAUAACACUUCGAUGGGACAUCCCAAUGAAGUCAAACGUUACGGGGGUUAAAGAUGAGCAUGCGUCCGAUUAGCUAGUUGGCGGGGUAACGGCCCACCAAGGCAACGAUCGGUAGGGGAUCUGAGAGGAUGACUCCCCCACACUGGUACUGAGACACGGACCAGACUCCUACGGGAGGCAGCAGUAAGGAAUAUUGG
This 344-nucleotide ribosomal RNA is filed under the name uncultured bacterium. Its description in RNAcentral is "bacterial SSU rRNA". It matches the Rfam family "Bacterial small subunit ribosomal RNA", at positions 28 to 367 of the family's 1533-position model. The record is from RNAcentral.